AUUGAACGCUGGCGGCAUGCUUUACACAUGCAAGUCGAACGGUAACAGGCCUUCGGGUGCUGACGAGUGGCGAACGGGUGAGUAAUGCAUCGGAACGUACCCAGAGGUGGGGGAUAACGCAGCGAAAGCUGUGCUAAUACCGCAUGUGAUCUGAGGAUGAAAGCGGGGGACCGAGCAGCAAUGUUUGGCCUCGCGCCUUUGGAGCGGCCGAUGUCGGAUUAGCUAGUUGGUGGGGUAAAGGCCUACCAAGGCGACGAUCCGUAGCUGGUCCGAGAGGACGACCAGCCACACUGGGACUGAGACACGGCCCAGACUCCUACGGGAGGCAGCAGUGGGGAAUUUUGGACAAAGGGCGCAAGCCUGAUCCAGCAAUGCCGCGUGCGGGAAGAAGGCCUUCGGGUUGUAAACCGCUUUUGGCAGGAACGAAACGGUGUCCGCUAAUACCGAGCGCUAAUGACGGUACCUGCAGAAUAAGCACCGGCUAACUACGUG
Molecule: ribosomal RNA, 492 nt
Filed under: uncultured bacterium
Lineage: Bacteria
Description: partial 16S ribosomal RNA
Rfam family: Bacterial small subunit ribosomal RNA
Source: RNAcentral